This 412-nucleotide ribosomal RNA is filed under the name uncultured microorganism. RNAcentral's name for it is "bacterial SSU rRNA". It matches the Rfam family "Bacterial small subunit ribosomal RNA", at positions 9 to 417 of the family's 1533-position model. The record is from RNAcentral.
GAGUUUGAUCAUGGCUCAGAUUGAACGCUGGCGGCAUGCCUUACACAUGCAAGUCGAACGGCAGCAUGAUCUAGCUUGCUAGAUUGAUGGCGAGUGGCGAACGGGUGAGUAAUACAUCGGAACGUGCCCUGUAGUGGGGGAUAACUAGUCGAAAGAUUAGCUAAUACCGCAUACGACCUGAGGGUGAAAGUGGGGGACCGCAAGGCCUCAUGCUAUAGGAGCGGCCGAUGUCUGAUUAGCUAGUUGGCGGGGUAAAGGCCCACCAAGGCGACGAUCAGUAGCUGGUCUGAGAGGACGAUCAGCCACACUGGGACUGAGACACGGCCCAGACUCCUACGGGAGGCAGCAGUGGGGAAUUUUGGACAAUGGGCGAAAGCCUGAUCCAGCAAUGCCGCGUGUGUGAAGAAGGCCU